AACGAACGCUGGCGGCAGGCUUAACACAUGCAAGUCGAACGCGUGUAGCAAUACACGAGUGGCGCACGGGUGAGUAACGCGUGGAUAUCUGCCUUUUGGUUCGGAAUAACCCCGGGAAACUGGGGCUAAUACCGAAUGGUUCCUUCGGGAUAAAGAUUUAUCGCCAAAAGAUGAGUCCGCGUACGAUUAGCUAGUUGGUGAGGUAAUGGCUCACCAAGGCGACGAUCGUUAGCUGGUCUGAGAGGACGAUCAGCCACACUGGGACUGAGACACGGCCCAGACUCCUACGGGAGGCAGCAGUGGGGAAUAUUGGACAAUGGGGGCAACCCUGAUCCGGCCAUGCCGCGUGAGUGAUGAAGGCCUUCGGGUUGUAAAGCUCUUUUGGCGGGGACGAUGAUGA
RNAcentral lists this ribosomal RNA (400 nucleotides) under uncultured Hyphomicrobiales bacterium. RNAcentral describes it as "bacterial SSU rRNA". It matches the Rfam family "Bacterial small subunit ribosomal RNA", at positions 29 to 454 of the family's 1533-position model. Lineage: Bacteria; Pseudomonadati; Pseudomonadota; Alphaproteobacteria; Hyphomicrobiales. The record is from RNAcentral.